CCAAGUGGCCUUUGUGUGUGUGUGUGUGUGUGUGUGUGUGUGUGUUUAUUAGGUUUGUUGUUGUUUUAUUGUAACUAUCAGGGCAAGAUCACUAAAACACAGAUGAUGGCAAAUUACCAGGAAUUAUGAUUGUUUUAAGUGAAUAUUUUAUUUUUUGUUAAUAUUAUUCCAUGACUGUGUUGGCAUGCCCUGUAUCAUUUAUUAACUAUGAAUGCUGGACAUAUACAAUUUUUAUUUUUACAUGGCUUUUUGUGUUGCAUUCUGUUUGU
This is a long non-coding RNA of Thalassophryne amazonica, 269 nucleotides long. RefSeq lists it as uncharacterized. The record is from RefSeq and is a predicted model, not a curated record. The transcript is spliced from 3 exons. Lineage: Eukaryota; Metazoa; Chordata; Actinopteri; Batrachoidiformes; Batrachoididae.